RNAcentral lists this unclassified non-coding RNA (370 nucleotides) under Yarrowia lipolytica. The record is from RNAcentral. Lineage: Eukaryota; Fungi; Ascomycota; Dipodascomycetes; Dipodascales.
NGAAACUCCACCAGCCCCCAGAGCAGGAGACGUUGUAGCGACUGAGACACGUUAAGUUAUGCUAGCACAAGAGUGACACUGUGAAACGAUGACGACAGCGCGAAGGUGAAACUGUGAACUGCGAGAGCAGAAUGCCAGAACCUUGAGAGCAUGGGCCAGAGCCAAUCAGUAAGAGCCCGAGCCAUGACGAUAAGCCAGUGAGUGCCAAUGAGCCAAUAAGAGCUAGGUGUUAUGCCAAUGAGAGCCGGAGCUGAAUUGAGCCAGAGCCAAUAAGAGCAGAGAGAUCCAGAGCCAACGAGCCAGAUCUAAAGAGUCAGAUCUCCACAGAGGAGCCAUACUAAAGGCAGUCGGAAGUUGAUCUUCUUGAUCC